GUGGAUUAGAUACCCUGGUAGUCCACGCUGUAAACGAUGGGCACUAGGUGUCUGGGGUAUUGACCCCCUGGGUGCCGCAGCUAACGCAUUAAGUGCCCCGCCUGGGGAGUACGGUCGCAAGAUUAAAACUCAAAGGAAUUGACGGGGGCCCGCACAAGCGGUGGAGCAUGUGGUUCAAUUCGACGCAACGCGAAGAACCUUACCUGGGCUAGACAACAGCGGACCGUCCUAGAAAUAGGAUUUUCCCUUCGGGGACCGCUGGUUCAGGUGCUGCACGGUUGUCGUCAGCU
This 290-nucleotide ribosomal RNA is filed under the name uncultured bacterium. RNAcentral describes it as "partial 16S ribosomal RNA". It matches the Rfam family "Bacterial small subunit ribosomal RNA", at positions 773 to 1060 of the family's 1533-position model. The record is from RNAcentral.